ACCUCAUGGUUGGGACAUUGCAUGAGUUUUUCAUUGAAGCUUUCACACACCUCGUAUGAGGGUUCACCAUUCAAUUACUAAAAGUUAAUGAUUUUAUAAUGCAAUU
Molecule: non-coding RNA, 106 nt
Organism: Capsicum annuum
Lineage: Eukaryota; Viridiplantae; Streptophyta; Magnoliopsida; Solanales; Solanaceae
Source: Rfam